RNAcentral lists this ribosomal RNA (478 nucleotides) under Amphora sp. 1150. RNAcentral's name for it is "SSU rRNA". It matches the Rfam family "Eukaryotic small subunit ribosomal RNA", at positions 592 to 1084 of the family's 1831-position model. The record is from RNAcentral. Lineage: Eukaryota; Bacillariophyta; Bacillariophyceae; Surirellales; Surirellaceae.
CAAUAGCGUAUAUUAAAGUUGUUGCAGUUAAAAAGCUCGUAGUUGGAUUUGUGGUGUUCCCUGUGGUCCGAUUUCGGUACUUUCGGGGAUUGCCAUCCUUGGGUGGAUCCUGUGUGGCAUUAGGUUGUCGCGCAGGGGAUGCCCAUCGUUUACUGUGAAAAAAUUAGAGUGUUCAAAGCAGGCUUACGCCGUUGAAUAUAUUAGCAUGGAAUAAUGAGAUAGGACCUUGGUACUAUUUUGUUGGUUUGCGCACCGAGGUAAUGAUUAAUAGGGACAGUUGUGGGUAUUCGUAUUCCAUUGUCAGAGGUGAAAUUCUUGGAUUUCUGGAAGACGAACUAAUGCGAAAGCAUUUACCAAGGAUGUUUUCAUUAAUCAAGAACGAAAGUUAGGGGAUCGAAGAUGAUUAGAUACCAUCGUAGUCUUAACCAUAAACUAUGCCGACAAGGGAUUGGUGGGGUUUCGUUACGUCUCCAUCAGC